GCAAACUUGGUCAUUUAGAGGAAGUAAAAGUCGUAACAAGGUUUCCGUAGGUGAACCUGCGGAAGGAUCAUCAAAGGAUUAUAAAUCUUUUUUCACCUUGUGUGCAACUAUUGAAAAAAAGGUGGCCUUUGGGAGAAGGGGUUUCGGACUUCAUGGGAUCUCAUCUCCCAGAGGUAUAUUUAACCUACAAUUUUUUAUGACUAAAAUUUUAAUAAAAAAAAAUUAAUAAAACAACUUUCAACAACGGAUCUCUUGGCUCUCGCAUCGAUGAAGAACGCAGC
RNAcentral lists this unclassified non-coding RNA (281 nucleotides) under uncultured fungus. RNAcentral's name for it is "partial contains small subunit ribosomal RNA, internal transcribed spacer 1, and 5.8S ribosomal RNA". The stretch from base 1 to 73 matches the Rfam family "Eukaryotic small subunit ribosomal RNA", at positions 1759 to 1831 of the family's 1831-position model. The record is from RNAcentral. Lineage: Eukaryota; Fungi.